AGAGUUUGAUCCUGGCUCAGACGAACGCUGGCGGCGUGCUUAACACAUGCAAGUCGAACGAUGAAGCCCUUCGGGGUGGAUUAGUGGCGAACGGGUGAGUAACACGUGGGCAAUCUGCCCUUCACUCUGGGACAAGCCCUGGAAACGGGGUCUAAUACCGGAUAAUACUCCUGCCUGCAUGGGCGGGGGUUAAAAGCUCCGGCGGUGAAGGAUGAGCCCGCGGCCUAUCAGCUUGUUGGUGGGGUAAUGGCCCACCAAGGCGACGACGGGUAGCCGGCCUGAGAGGGCGACCGGCCACACUGGGACUGAGACACGGCCCAGACUCCUACGGGAGGCAGCAGUGGGGAAUAUUGCACAAUGGGCGAAAGCCUGAUGCAGCGACGCCGCGUGAGGGAUGACGGCCUUCGGGUUGUAAACCUCUUUCAGCAGGGAAGAAGCGAAAGUGACGGUACCUGCAGAAGAAGCGCCGGCUAACUACGUGCCAGCAGCCGCGGUAAUACGUAGGGCGCAAGCGUUGUCCGGAAUUAUUGGGCGUAAAGAGCUCGUAGGCGGCUUGUCACGUCGGAUGUGAAAGCCCGAGGCUUAACCUCGGGUCUGCAUUCGAUACGGGCUAGCUAGAGUGUGGUAGGGGAGAUCGGAAUUCCUGGUGUAGCGGUGAAAUGCGCAGAUAUCAGGAGGAACACCGGUGGCGAAGGCGGAUCUCUGGGCCAUUACUGACGCUGAGGAGCGAAAGCGUGGGGAGCGAACAGGAUUAGAUACCCUGGUAGUCCACGCCGUAAACGUUGGGAACUAGGUGUUGGCGACAUUCCACGUCGUCGGUGCCGCAGCUAACGCAUUAAGUCCCCGCCUGGGGAGUACGGCCGCAAGGCUAAAACUCAAAGGAAUUGACGG
Molecule: ribosomal RNA, 891 nt
Filed under: Streptomyces sp.
Lineage: Bacteria; Bacillati; Actinomycetota; Actinomycetes; Kitasatosporales; Streptomycetaceae
Description: bacterial SSU rRNA
Rfam family: Bacterial small subunit ribosomal RNA
Source: RNAcentral